GUAGAGAUAGGGGAUUAUCUAGAAAGGUGUAUUGUGGCGAUUCAAAAAUUGUCCGACCCUGAUUUGGAAUUUCUUUGGAAACUUAGAUGGAUGAAUAACAUUUCUGAAAUUGAUUUGCUUCAAGUUUCAUCGAAAUUUGGCUGAAAAAGCCCAAAGAAAUGUGAGGCUACUAAAUUCACAAUGGUGUUAGCAUUUGUGGCGCAUAUGUGACAUUUGGUGAAAACCACGUGAAAACAAUAGUACGUUACGGACAUUUGCACGUUUCUGGGCUGCAGGCUGUGUUUGACGUGUUUGGGCAUGGUGUGAGCUAUCAUGGCCUUCGUUAGUGUUGCAGCCAUAGGUGAUUUUUUUCAAACUAUGUCCAGUGUGAUUGAGAAGGGUGAAAGAGCAUUGGAUGGUGGCAAAAUCCGAUCCAUUGCCCUGCAGGAUGGCAAAUACAUUGUGGCUUCUGUUGAGGCCAGCAUGAAGAAAAGGACCUAUGAUGUUCAAGUCACUGUCGAGAACAAGAAGCCAGUGGAUGGAAGCUGCACAUGCCCAAAUGGUCAGCAUCGGUGCUCCCACAUGGCUGCCAUCCUUCUGUAUGCACAGAAGAACUGGUCGCAGACUGAUCGGCAGUGUCAAUGGAACCGAGGAUCCAGCAACGCGACAAUGUUGAAAGCAAAGGAGAUGUUCCCCCAGGAAGACAGUUCUUUGCUGGUGAGCUCUGUCAAAGAGGACCAACUGGCAUGGCUGUAUGACCAGGUGAGGGAGCAGCCAUGUGGGCUGGCAUGGCUGUUGGCUCCAGAGUCUCAGCCUUCCCCAGAAGAGAAGGUACCAAACAUCGACAGCAUCCUAACUAGUGCUGAGUUUCAUGCAUCAGCUGACAAGUCCCACUUCCUUUUAGCAAUGCUGUCUCUUUCAAAGGAAGAGAUUGCAGAGGUGCAGAGGGUGACCAGUGGUCAGGUCAAAAACCCCAAGUGGUUUGUUGCUAGAAAGGGAAGGCUGACAUCGAGCAACUUCGGCCUCGUCUUGAAGGCAAUUGCCAGAGGAAGAUACCCAAAGUCACUAUUCAAAAGGCUCCUUGGUGGCUAUGACCCAUCCGGCAGUGCAGCUGUAAAAUGGGGACGAACCCACGAAGCAGCUGCAAAGCGAGCGUAUGAAAAUCGCACUGGAAAAAAGGUGGAAGAGAAUGGGAUUUUUCUCUCUGAAGAUGGUAUGCUUGGGGCCUCUCCAGAUGGUGUAGUGGGGGAUACACUCCUAGAGGUGAAGUGUCCGUGGACACACAGGUGUCGAACGAUCCAGGAAGCCGUGCAAGCAGAUGGAAAGUUUUUCUUGGACGAAAACCUGAAUCUUAAAGAAGAUCACGAUUACUUCCACCAGGUACAGGGCCAGAUGUGGUUAAGUGGCUUCACCAAGUGUGACUUUGUUGUCUGGACGACUCGUGACUUACACAUCGUUACCAUCGCCAGAAGCGAUUCAUGGACUGUAAACCUAGAACUCCUAAAACAGUUCUAUAGGGUCCACAUGGUGCCGAGCAUCAUCGGGUCCGCUUAACCCGCAGGGCUCAUGCCUGCUGGGCGAUAUGAGAUUUGCCACUGUGAUGUAAUGUGUGUCACUGUACAGGUGCGCGCCAGGCUGGUUGUCGUGUUUCACUUUCAAACGUCAAACUGUGUGUAAAUAAUGCAAAUAAUAAACAUACAUGUUUGUG
RNAcentral lists this unclassified non-coding RNA (1687 nucleotides) under Amphibalanus amphitrite. RNAcentral describes it as "uncharacterized LOC122367735, transcript variant X2". Lineage: Eukaryota; Metazoa; Arthropoda; Thecostraca; Balanomorpha; Balanidae. The record is from RNAcentral.